CCAGUCUUACUUCCAUCUCUUGAUUGAAGGUGGUGAUAAAGAUCGACCUUUUAUCUGAUCCCUAUUAGUUGAAAUAAGAAUUUUUUUUUUUUUUAUUUUUGUUUUGCGUGUGUGCAUUUGUCAUUUUUAUUUUCCAUAAUGGGAUUUGUCAUGUGUAAUUUGUUCAACUGGGGAUAAGAAGAAGUUGUUUGAUACCCAGUCUUGUUUCCUUGUAGAAGCUGGUGAGAUAUCUUUCUUAACUGGUCCUCUAUAGCUAUUUAUUAGCUCUAUUUCUUUUUCCUUUUUGGUGUGUGGGGUGCAAUCAUUUUUAAAAUUAACAAACGGAUAUAUGCAAUGAGGUGUGAUGAUACUUAUCCACCAUUUCUGCUAUUGAAUGAUGAAUGCUAUACAUGCACUACCAUCUGAUCUCGGUUGCAUAUAUGCCUAAACAUGUAUUUGAAUCGAAUUUUAGAUUAAUGUUUUUAUUAAGUUUUAGUUGAUCUUUGAUUCUUAUGCUGCAAUCUAUGAUGUAAUUUAUUUAUUGGUUCGGAUUUACUGUGAUGAUCAUAAAAAAAUCACCAUCUUUCG
Molecule: unclassified non-coding RNA, 567 nt
Filed under: Hevea brasiliensis (rubber tree)
Lineage: Eukaryota; Viridiplantae; Streptophyta; Magnoliopsida; Malpighiales; Euphorbiaceae
Source: RNAcentral